UACGUAGGUGGCAAGCGUUAUCCGGAUUUAUUGGGUGUAAAGGGCGUGUAGGCGGGAGCGCAAGUCAGAUGUGAAAACUCAGGGCUCAACCCUGAGCCUGCAUUUGAAACUGUGUUUCUUGAGUGCUGGAGAGGCAAUCGGAACUCCGUGUGUAGCGGUGAAAUGCGUAGAUAUACGGAGGAACACCUGUGGCGAAGGCGGAUUGCUGGACAGUAACUGACGCUGAGGCGCGAAAGCGUGGGGAGCAAACAGG
Molecule: ribosomal RNA, 253 nt
Filed under: uncultured bacterium
Lineage: Bacteria
Description: partial 16S ribosomal RNA
Rfam family: Bacterial small subunit ribosomal RNA
Source: RNAcentral